GCGGCUUUGGUCUAGUGGUUAUGACCCAGGCCUCCCACGCCUGAGACCCGGGUUCGAAUCCCGGAAGCCGCACCA
Molecule: transfer RNA, 75 nt
Filed under: Promethearchaeota archaeon
Lineage: Archaea; Promethearchaeati; Promethearchaeota
Also listed under: 2 other names
Description: tRNA-Gly
Rfam family: tRNA
About the family: Transfer RNA (tRNA) molecules are approximately 80 nucleotides in length.
Source: RNAcentral